GCCCGCUUGGCUCAGUGGUAAGGCGUCUCACUCGUAAUGAGAAGAUCGUAGGUUCGAUUCCUGCAGUGGGCA
Molecule: transfer RNA, 72 nt
Filed under: Fonsecaea multimorphosa CBS 102226
Lineage: Eukaryota; Fungi; Ascomycota; Eurotiomycetes; Chaetothyriales; Herpotrichiellaceae
Description: tRNA-Thr (CGT) (tRNA-Thr-CGT-1-1)
Rfam family: tRNA
About the family: Transfer RNA (tRNA) molecules are approximately 80 nucleotides in length. Their secondary structure includes four short double-helical elements and three loops (D, anti-codon, and T loops).
Source: RNAcentral